UACGUAUGGUGCAAGCGUUAUCCGGAUUUACUGGGUGUAAAGGGAGCGCAGGCGGCGCGUUAAGCCUGGUGUGAAAGCCCGCGGCCCAACCGCGGGACUGCAUUGGGAACUGGCGCGCUGGAGUGCCGGAGGGGUAGGCGGAAUUCCUGGUGUAGCGGUGAAAUGCGUAGAUAUUAGGAGGAACACCAGUGGCGAAGGCGGCCUACUGGACGGUGACUGACGCUGAGGCUCGAAAGCGUGGGGAGCAAACAGG
This 253-nucleotide ribosomal RNA is filed under the name uncultured bacterium. Its description in RNAcentral is "partial 16S ribosomal RNA". It matches the Rfam family "Bacterial small subunit ribosomal RNA", at positions 524 to 776 of the family's 1533-position model. The record is from RNAcentral.